RNAcentral lists this long non-coding RNA (290 nucleotides) under Lynx canadensis (Canada lynx). RNAcentral's name for it is "lncRNA (ENSLCNG00005015532.1)". Lineage: Eukaryota; Metazoa; Chordata; Mammalia; Carnivora; Felidae. The record is from RNAcentral.
UAACUCUUAUACUCAAGUGUAACCUUGAUUUUUUUCCUCUGAAAUUUAGUGCACAAGACCAAGGAAUGGGCCCAGGAAUCCUUUGGAGGAAAUAUGGAGAGCAUUGGCAAUAGUUGUUAAGAGUUUCCAGAAACAUUAUUUAGACAAGGUGCAACCAGUUUGUCUUUCAAUAAAUAUGAAUUGCUUCAAGCAAGAAAGAUUCUGGCAACAUGUGCUCUCCACUCUGAAUCUCAAAAACCUGAGGACAUGUCACACCCAGGUAAGCAUUUCUAUCAUCAAGGAAUGGUAAG